CUAGGAUAGAGUUUGAUCUUGGCUCAGAACGAACGCUGGCGGCGCGCUUAACACAUGCAAGUCGAACGAGAAGGCGUAGCAAUACGCUUGUAUAGUGGCGAACGGGUGAGGAAUACGUGGGUGACCUACCCUCGAGUGGGGAAUAACCCGCCGAAAGGCGGGCUAAUGCCGCGUACGCUUCCGUCCUCGCGGGGACGGAAGGAAAGUCAUGCCGGUGGGCAGUGGCGCUACGAAGGAGUGGGCUCACCGUCCUAUCAGCUUGGUUGGGUAGGGUAACGGCCUACCAAGGCUCCGGACGGGUAGCUGGUCUGAGGA
This 315-nucleotide ribosomal RNA is filed under the name uncultured bacterium. Its description in RNAcentral is "bacterial SSU rRNA". It matches the Rfam family "Bacterial small subunit ribosomal RNA", at positions 1 to 298 of the family's 1533-position model. The record is from RNAcentral.